UACGGGGGGGGCAAGCGUUGUUCGGAUUUACUGGGCGUAAAGGGCGCGUAGGCGGCCACCGCAAGUCGACUGUGAAAUCUCCGGGCUUAACCCGGAAAGGUCAGCUGAUACUGCGGGGCUAGAGUGCAGAAGGGGCAACUGGAAUUCUCGGUGUAGCGGUGAAAUGCGUAGAUAUCGAGAGGAACACCUGCGGCGAAGGCGGGUUGCUGGGCUGACACUGACGCUGAGGCGCGAAAGCUAGGGGAGCGAACGGG
This 254-nucleotide ribosomal RNA is filed under the name uncultured bacterium. RNAcentral's name for it is "partial 16S ribosomal RNA". It matches the Rfam family "Bacterial small subunit ribosomal RNA", at positions 524 to 776 of the family's 1533-position model. The record is from RNAcentral.